RNAcentral lists this ribosomal RNA (2949 nucleotides) under Triticum aestivum (bread wheat). RNAcentral's name for it is "partial small subunit ribosomal RNA". Lineage: Eukaryota; Viridiplantae; Streptophyta; Magnoliopsida; Poales; Poaceae. The record is from RNAcentral.
AUGGCGGCGGCGAUGGUGUGGGUGCCGAUACUGGAGGAGGGGGUGUUCCGGUUCGACGCGUCGGAGGCCGCGCGCGCGGCGGCCGGGCCCAGCCUGUCGUUCGCCGAGCCGCGCCGCCGGGAGGUGGUACUGCGUGAGGGGGUGGACGACGCCGGCCGCCCCGCGGUCGUGCCGGAGUGCGAGGUGGUGGGUGACGACGUCCACAGGAUUCUCAUCAAGCUUCCUUAUGGGACAUCUUUCUACGGCACAGGAGAAGCAAGUGGCCCACUUGAACGAACCGGGAAACGAGUUUUCACCUGGAACACAGAUGCAUGGGGAUACGGGUCAGGAACCACUUCACUAUAUCAAUCACACCCUUGGGUGUUGUCCAUCCUCCCAGAUGGAAAGAGCCUCGGUGUCCUAGCUGAUACCACACGCCGUUGUGAGAUUGACUUGAGACAAGAAUCUACUAUAAAGUUUGCUGCCCUAUCUGCUUAUCCUAUCAUUACUUUUGGGCCAUUUGAUACACCGGCCCAAGUGGUGGCAUCCUUGUCUCAUGCGAUUGGAACUGUGUCCAUGCCUUCAAAAUGGGCUCUCGGCUAUCAUCAAUGUCGCUUUAGCUACAAGUCUUCUGAGAGAGUCCUUGAGGUUAUUAGAACAUUUAGAGAGAAAGGCAUUCCUUGUGAUGUGGUUUGGAUGGAUAUUGACUACAUGGAUGGUUUUAGAUGCUUCACAUUUGACAAUAACCAUUUCCCUGAUCCAAAAUCUAUGGUUGAUGAUCUACAUUCCAUCGGUUGUAAAUCAAUCUGGAUGCUUGACCCGGGAAUAAAGGAAGAGAAGGGUUACUUUGUGUAUGAAAGUGGUUCAGAAAAUGAUGUGUGGAUUAAAAAGGCAGAUGGUAGCCCAUUCAUUGGGGAAGUAUGGCCUGGUGACUGUGUUUUCCCGGAUUUCACCAGUGAAAGAAUCCGCACAUGGUGGGCUAGAUUAGUAAGGGAUUUCAUCUCCAACGGCGUUGAUGGAAUAUGGAAUGAUAUGAACGAGCCUGCUAUGACAACUACUACUAAAACAAUGCCUGAGAGCAAUAUACAUAGAGGAGAUGCUGAUAUUGGUGGUGUCCAGAAUCAUUCUUACUAUCAUAAUGUUUAUGGAAUGCUGAUGGCAAGAUCUACUUAUGAAGGAAUGGUGAUGUCCAAUACAGAAAAGCGACCAUUCGUUCUUACACGAGCUGGUUUUAUAGGAAGCCAAAGAUAUGCUGCAACAUGGACUGGUGAUAAUCUCUCGAAUUGGGAGCAUUUGCACAUGAGUCUAUCAAUGGUUCUUCAGUUGGGUUUGAGUGGUCAGCCACUGUCGGGUCCUGAUAUUGGUGGGUUUGCUGGAAAUGCUACUCCAAGACUUUUUGGAAGAUGGAUGGGAGUGGGUGCGUUGUUUCCUUUCUCACGUGGCCAUUCUGAAGCUGGAACCGUCGAUCAUGAGCCAUGGUCCUUUGGUGAAGAGUGUGAGGAAGUUUGUCGUCUCGCGCUACUAAGACGGUAUCGGCUACUGCUACACAUCUACACUCUGUUUUAUGUUUCACAUAAGAAGGGUACUCCAGUUGCUGCGCCACUUUUCUUUGCUGACCCACAAGACACAGAACUGAGGAAAAUCGAGACUUCGUUUCUCCUGGGGCCACUUUUAGUUUGUGCAAGCACUUUACCUGAUAAAGGAGCUCAUGAAUGUGCACAUAAGUUACCAAAUGGCAUUUGGUUACCUUUUGAUUUUGGAGAUUCCCACCCCGAUCUCCCAGUGUUGUAUUUAAGAGGUGGAGCAAUUCUUCCUGUAGGCCUUCCUAUUCAGCAUGUUGGUGAAGCAAGUUUAGGGGACGAUUUAUCACUACUUGUUGCAUUGGAUGAAAAUGGUAAAGCUGAAGGUGUCUUGUUUGAGGAUGCCGGCGAUGGAUACGGGUUCACACAGGGAGACUAUCUGCUGACAUAUUAUGUCGCCGAAGUCCACUCAUCAGUGGUUUCUGUGAAAGUUCUGAAAACUGAAGGAUCCUGGAAGAGACCAAAACGUAACUUAAACAUAAGUAUUUUGCUUGGUGGAGGUGCUAUGAUGAGUUCACGCGGUGUGGAUGGCGAAGAGGUACAUUUUAUGAUGCCUUCUGAGUUUGAAGUGUCCAGCUUGGUUGCAGCAAGUGAACUUGAUCUCAAGGAACGUUUAGAGACAAUUCGUCCUAUACCUGAUAUGGAUAAGCCAUCGGGACAGGAAGGUGCUGAUCUGUCAAAAACACUUAUUAUUUUGAAGAGUGGGGACUGGUUUCUUAAGAUUGUACCAUGGAUUGGCGGCCGUAUUAUUUCGAUGACUCAUCUUCCUUCUGAUUCCCAGUGGCUACAUAGCAGGAUUGAAAUCCAUGGUUAUGAGGAGUACAGUAGGACUGAAUAUAGGUCUGCUGGCUGCACAGAAGAGUACAAGAUCGUGAGGGGGCAUCUGGAGCAAUCAUGCGUGGAGGAAUCCAAAGUUUUCCUGGAAGGAGAUAUUGGGGGUGGACUGGUUCUUCAGCGCCACAUAUCUAUUCUGACGGACAAUCCCAAGAUUGUCCAGAUUGACUCUAGCAUUGAAGCAAGAAGUGUUGGGCCUGGCUCUGGUGGAUUCUCAAGGUUGGUCUGUUUGCGAGUCCGUCCCACCUUUACGCUUCUACACCCAACUGAGGUAGUUGUUGCUUUCACGGCCAUCAAUGGUUCAAAACAAGAGAUCUCUUUAGAUUCCGGAGAAGUGACACUGGAGGGAGGCCUCCGACCGAACGGGGAGUGGACGCUGGUGGACAAGUGUUCAGGGCUGAGCAUGGUAAACCGUUUCGAUCACCGUCAGGUUAGCAAAUGUUUGGUGCAUUGGGGAACUAGUGAUCUGAACAUGGAGCUCUGGUCUGAUGAGAGGCCAGUUUCGAAAGACACGCCGUUGAGGAUCUGCCACCGGUAUGAGGUGACACAAACAUGA